Molecule: long non-coding RNA, 1257 nt
Filed under: Struthio camelus australis
Lineage: Eukaryota; Metazoa; Chordata; Aves; Struthioniformes; Struthionidae
Description: lncRNA (ENSSCUG00000017422.1)
Source: RNAcentral
GCUGCAAGCGCGUUCGCUUCAGAUCAGCCCUGCCGUCUUCGGCAGUGUCGUUCCGGCCUUGGGUUCUUGGAAUGCCAGAAGUGAUCAUUCCAGAAGAUGGGAAGUUUCAUCUAAAAUUGAGAAAAAUAAGAUUAAUCUAUCCAGCAGUCUUCCCCAAACUGCGCAAGAAAAUACAGUUGAAAUACCUUACUUCCAUUGGACCUGGCACGGCGUCUAGGAUUUCCUCUCUCCCAGGGGACAUCACAGGUCAGCGCUAGGAACUGCUGGAGCGGCUGGUACAAACGUAAGCGCUACCGGAACGGAGUUACUCCCUGCAGUGGGAGACACUGGAGUGCAUGGUAAAAUUAACUUUGUGGUCCAGUCUCAGAGGUUUUAUUUGCUUUUCAGGCAGGACCUAAACUCGAGUUCGAGUCUCUUGUAAACUUAAAUGGGCUUUCAGUCAAGCUCUGAUUGUGUUCAGAAGCAAUUUAAUACUUGUAUGGCACCGUGCAGUAACCCAUAUGGUUGUAUUUGAGGUAUUAUUUGUUGAGGACUGUUUUGUUUCCAACAUAAAAAUUUAAACUUCCGGGAUAGUUUACUCUACUGACAGUUUACUACAGUCCUGUUUGUAAGAGUAGAUUUGGUAUAAUUUGAGAUGAGAUUCACCGCGCUAGAUUUUUCCCUUUUCCUAGGUGUCACUAGAGAGCAGAGGCUGGCCUAGGCAAUCUGUUAUUUGCAUGACUUGACCUGUAUUUUUAACUUUGGGCCUUUUGUGUUUUGCACGUUUUAGUAUGGGAGCAAUUAGAACAUGUCUUACUACUGGUAUUUUACCCUAAAUUGCUAUUAAGUUUUUUUGAAUUGUCAUAACAUAUAUCAAAUCUGAGAGUUCCUGACAUUGUAUGUUUACUUAAGCAAGAAUUUGAAAGGUAAUUUUAUGUUUUACUUCUAAUUUUGAAGUUAUGUAGUGUUAGCUUUUAUAUAUAAACAUAUUUAUCAGCUGCUGCAGUCACUUGCCUUGAUAUAAGAUGGCUGCCUAUUUUUAUUUCUGGAGCUAUACAAUACAGCCUGAACAUCCUGACUACUUAAGCUGGAUUUACAGCAGCUGUGUGUUGCUGAAAGCCUAUGGCAUAUACGCUUCACUUUUCUCUCACUUCCAUUCUAGUUUCCAACCAAUCUCUUGUACUUCCAUAUAGUCCUCUGAGCCUAUGCACCCUCCCAUGAUUUUCUUCAUUCUUCUGCACCUUCUCUUAUUUGUAUGUACCUCUACACACAUGUGCA